GAAGCCGAAGAGGGUCCGCAUCUGCUCCGAGCUGGCGCUGGGCGAGACGUUGGUGACCUGGAUCACGUCGGUGCCGCUGCUGGAGGCCAUCGCGCCGCCGCCCGCUCCGCCGGUGCUGCAGCAGACACAGCGGGGAGCUGUGUGAGCUGCUGUCUUCACAUCUUGGUCAGACCCAACAAUUCCUCUCCAGGCUGGGGAAUCAAGGACACCUCACUGCCUCAGGCCCCGAGAGAUGGAAACAAAAGUGAGUUAGGUAGCCUCAGAAAAGGCAUCACAAGCAGGACAACGUUGGGGUGGGAAUUUCUCAUUAAUGUUAUAGAGGAAAAAAAAACAUAUUUGUGGUUAACGUAGUACAAAUCACCCUAUUUCCUGAUGAGUUUGUUGUUUUAUGUUAAUGUGUUUCCCCAUAAAUGCUCCUGAAUGUAAAUAAAACAAGCCUUAUUUAUUAAUCAAGCUGAAAUUCUACCACAUAUGAUUCAUAAAGUAGGAGACGCUCCUACUGGUCCUGCCUUACCAGAUAUCACAUUUCCAUGUAUGAAAUAUCACAGAUAUUUGAUAUUCAGAUAAUUCAGUACCUUGUACUGAGUUGCCAAAAGCUUAUUUAAAGUCCUGCUUUGAAUUUGUCAGCAGUGUUCCACGUGGAACUUCAUUAAUUUCCAACAACACUGAAAGGGAAUGAGGCUGACAUUGUGUUUUUACCUGAGGCACAGAGCACUCACCCUCUGAAGUCUUUAAAACCCGUUUGUAACACUAUUUUUUAUUUUUUUUUAAAUAAAAAAUGUUGAA
Poecile atricapillus (Black-capped chickadee) is the source of this 786-nucleotide long non-coding RNA. RefSeq lists it as uncharacterized. Lineage: Eukaryota; Metazoa; Chordata; Aves; Passeriformes; Paridae. The transcript is spliced from 3 exons. The record is from RefSeq and is a predicted model, not a curated record.